CACCGCGGUUAUACGAGGGGCUCAAGUUGACAGACAACGGCGUAAAGAGUGGUUAAGGUGACCCCCCCCCCCCAACUAAAGUUGAACGUCCUCAGGGCUGUGAUACGUGCCCGAAGAUAAGAAACCCCAUCACGAAAGUAACUUUAUUACCCCUGACCCCACGAAAGCUGUGGCA
This 175-nucleotide ribosomal RNA is filed under the name Plectroglyphidodon johnstonianus (Johnston Island damsel). RNAcentral describes it as "partial 12S rRNA". Lineage: Eukaryota; Metazoa; Chordata; Actinopteri; Pomacentridae. The record is from RNAcentral.